GUGACUGCGUACCUUUUGUAUAAUGGGUCAGCGACUUAUAUUCUGUAGCAAGGUUAACCGUAUAGGGGAGCCGGAGGGAAACCGAGUCUUAAUUGGGCGUUAAGUUGCAGGGUAUAGACCCGAAACCCGGUGAUCUAGCCAUGGGCAGGUUGAAGGUUGGGUAACACUAACUGGAGGACCGAACCGACUAAUGUUGAAAAAUUAGCGGAUGACCUGUGGCUGGGGGUGAAAGGCCAAUCAAACCGGGAGAUAGCUGGUUCUCCCCGAAAGCUAUUUAGGUAGCGCCUCGUGAAUUCAUCUCCGGGGGUAGAGCACUGUUUCGGCUAGGGGGCCAUCCCGGCUUACCAACCCGAUGCAAACUGCGAAUACCGGAGAAUGUUAUCACGGGAGACACACGGCGGGUGCUAACGUCCGUCGUGAAGAGGGAAACAACCCAGACCGCCAGCUAAGGUCCCAAAGUCAUGGUUAAGUGGGAAACGAUGUGGGAAGGCCCAGACAGCCAGGAUGUUGGCUUAGAAGCAGCCAUCAUUUAAAGAAAGCGUAAUAGCUCACUGGUCGAGUCGGCCUGCGCGGAAGAUGUAACGGGGCUAAACCAUGCACCGAAGCUGCGGCAGCGAACGUAUCACCCAAGACAACUUUACGGAGUUGACGAUUGACGGAGCGAAGCGACGUCAAAGCGUUCAUUAAAGUCGAGUUGGCUUAGGGAUACGUUCGUUGGGUAGGGGAGCGUUCUGUAAGCCUGUGAAGGUGUGUCGUGAGGCAUGCUGGAGGUAUCAGAAGUGCGAAUGCUGACAUAAGUAACGAUAAAGCGGGUGAAAAGCCCGCUCGCCGGAAGACCAAGGGUUCCUGUCCAACGUUAAUCGGGGCAGGGUGAGUCGACCCCUAAGGCGAGGCCGAAAGGCGUAGUCGAUGGGAAACGGGUUAAUAUUCCCGUACUUGGUGUUACUGCGAAGGGGGGACGGAGAAGGCUAUGUUGGCCGGGCGACGGUUGUCCCGGUUUAAGCGUGUAGGUGUGUGUUCCAGGUAAAUCCGGUUCACUUUAACACUGAGGCGUGACGACGAGGCACUACGGUGCUGAAGCAACAAAUGCCCUGCUUCCAGGAAAAGCCUCUAAGCAUCAGGUAACACGAAAUCGUACCCCAAACCGACACAGGUGGUCAGGUAGAGAAUACCAAGGCGCUUGAGAGAACUCGGGUGAAGGAACUAGGCAAAAUGGUGCCGUAACUUCGGGAGAAGGCACGCUGACACGUAGGUGAAGUGAUUUACUCAUGGAGCUGAAGUCAGUCGAAGAUACCAGCUGGCUGCAACUGUUUAUUAAAAACACAGCACUGUGCAAACACGAAAGUGGACGUAUACGGUGUGACGCCUGCCCGGUGCCGGAAGGUUAAUUGAUGGGGUCAGCGCAAGCGAAGCUCCUGAUCGAAGCCCCGGUAAACGGCGGCCGUAACUAUAACGGUCCUAAGGUAGCGAAAUUCCUUGUCGGGUAAGUUCCGACCUGCACGAAUGGCGUAAUGAUGGCCAGGCUGUCUCCACCCGAGACUCAGUGAAAUUGAACUCGCUGUGAAGAUGCAGUGUACCCGCGGCAAGACGGAAAGACCCCGUGAACCUUUACUAUAGCUUGACACUGAACAUUGAGCCUUGAUGUGUAGGAUAGGUGGGAGGCUUUGAAGUGUGGACGCCAGUCUGCAUGGAGCCGACCUUGAAAUACCACCCUUUAAUGUUUGAUGUUCUAACGUGGACCCGUAAUCCGGGUUGCGGACAGUGUCUGGUGGGUAGUUUGACUGGGGCGGUCUCCUCCUAAAGAGUAACGGAGGAGCACGAAGGUUGGCUAAUCCUGGUCGGACAUCAGGAGGUUAGUGCAAUGGCAUAAGCCAGCUUGACUGCGAGCGUGACGGCGCGAGCAGGUGCGAAAGCAGGUCAUAGUGAUCCGGUGGUUCUGAAUGGAAGGGCCAUCGCUCAACGGAUAAAAGGUACUCCGGGGAUAACAGGCUGAUACCGCCCAAGAGUUCAUAUCGACGGCGGUGUUUGGCACCUCGAUGUCGGCUCAUCACAUCCUGGGGCUGAAGUAGGUCCCAAGGGUAUGGCUGUUCGCCAUUUAAAGUGGUACGCGAGCUGGGUUUAGAACGUCGUGAGACAGUUCGGUCCCUAUCUGCCGUGGGCGCUGGAGAACUGAGGGGGGCUGCUCCUAGUACGAGAGGACCGGAGUGGACGCAUCACUGGUGUUCGGGUUGUCAUGCCAAUGGCACUGCCCGGUAGCUAAAUGCGGAAGAGAUAAGUGCUGAAAGCAUCUAAGCACGAAACUUGCCCCGAGAUGAGUUCUCCCUGAGACUUAGAGUCUCCUGAAGGAACGUUGAAGACGACGACGUUGAUAGGCCGGGUGUGUAAGCGCAGCGAUGCGUUGAGCUAACCGGUACUAAUGAACCGUGAGGCUUAACCUUACAACGCCGAAG
This 2450-nucleotide ribosomal RNA is filed under the name Salmonella enterica subsp. enterica serovar Typhimurium. RNAcentral's name for it is "partial 23S ribosomal RNA". It matches the Rfam family "Bacterial large subunit ribosomal RNA", at positions 593 to 2925 of the family's 2925-position model. Lineage: Bacteria; Pseudomonadati; Pseudomonadota; Gammaproteobacteria; Enterobacterales; Enterobacteriaceae. The record is from RNAcentral.